RNAcentral lists this ribosomal RNA (465 nucleotides) under uncultured bacterium. RNAcentral describes it as "partial 16S ribosomal RNA". It matches the Rfam family "Bacterial small subunit ribosomal RNA", at positions 338 to 795 of the family's 1533-position model. The record is from RNAcentral.
CCUACGGGAGGCAGCAGUAGGGAAUUUUCGUCAAUGGGCGCAAGCCUGAACGAGCAAUGCCGCGUGAACGAGGAGGGUCUUCGGAUCGUAAAAUUCUGUUGAAGGGGAAAAAGAGCGGAGAGAGGAAAUGAUUGCUGAUUGAUAUUACCCUUCGAGGAAGUCACGUCUAACUACGUGCGAUCAGCCGCGGUAAUACGUAGGUGGCUAGCGUUAUCCGGAAUGGUUGGGCGUAAAGGGUGCGUAGGCGGCCUGCUAAGUCUGGAGUGAAAGGUACCGGCUCAACCGGUACAGGCUCUGGAAACUGGCGGGCUAGGGAGCAGGAGAGGGCGGUGGAACUCCAUGUGUAGCGGGAAAAUGCGGAGAUAUAUGGAAGAACAACAGUGGCGAAGGCGGCCGCCUGGCCUGUUAACUGACGCUGAGGCACGAAAGCGUGGGGAGCAAAUAGGAUUAGAUACCCUUGUAGUC